This 253-nucleotide ribosomal RNA is filed under the name uncultured bacterium. RNAcentral's name for it is "partial 16S ribosomal RNA". It matches the Rfam family "Bacterial small subunit ribosomal RNA", at positions 524 to 776 of the family's 1533-position model. The record is from RNAcentral.
UACGUAGGAGGCAAGCGUUGUCCGGAAUUACUGGGUGUCAAGCGCGUGUAGGCGGCCGGCCAAGUCUGUGGUGAAAUCGCUCGGCUCAACUGGGCGGGGUCCAUGGAAACUGGUCAGCUGGAGGACGGUAGAGGUGAGUGGAAUUCCCGGUGUAGUGGUGAAAUGCGUAGAGAUCGGGAGGAACACCCGUGGCGAAGGCGGCUCACUGGGCCGGUCCUGACGCUGAGACGCGAAGGCGUGGGGAGCGAACGGG